GACGAACGCUGGCGGCGUGCUUAACACAUGCAAGUCGAACGGAAAGGCCCUGCUUUUGUGGGGUGCUCGAGUGGCGAACGGGUGAGUAGCACGUGAGUAACCUGCCCUUGACUUUGGGAUAACUUCAGGAAACUGGGGCUAAUACCGGAUAGGAGCUCCUGCUGCAUGGUGGGGGUUGGAAAGUUUCGGCGGUGGGGGAUGGACUCGCGGCUUAUCAGCUUGUUGGUGGGGUAGUGGCUUACCAAGGCUUUGACGGGUAGCCGGCCUGAGAGGGUGACCGGCCACAUUGGGACUGAGAUACGGCCCAGACUCCUACGGGAGGCAGCAGUGGGGAAUAUUGCACAAUGGGCGGAAGCCUGAUGCAGCAACGCCGCGUGCGGGAUGACGGCCUUCGGGUUGUAAACCGCUUUCGCCUGUGACGAAGCGUGAGUGACGGUAAUGGGUAAAGAAGCACCGGCUAACUACGUG
Molecule: ribosomal RNA, 468 nt
Filed under: uncultured bacterium
Lineage: Bacteria
Description: partial 16S ribosomal RNA
Rfam family: Bacterial small subunit ribosomal RNA
Source: RNAcentral